Molecule: unclassified non-coding RNA, 874 nt
Filed under: Hevea brasiliensis (rubber tree)
Lineage: Eukaryota; Viridiplantae; Streptophyta; Magnoliopsida; Malpighiales; Euphorbiaceae
Source: RNAcentral
CCACGACAAGUAGCCAUUUGGUUCCAGAACCGCCGUGCCCGUUGGAAGACUAAGCAACUGGAGCGAGAAUAUGUAGCCCUCAAGGCCAAUUAUGAAGCUCUAAAACUCAAUUAUGAUAGUCUUGAACGACAGAACGAAUCUCUAACUCUGCAGGUAAAGGAAUUGAAAGCAAAGCUCAGGGAAGAAAAUGCAGACAGCAGUCACUCUGUCAAAGAGGAGCCCCCUGUUUCAGAGUCAGAGAACAACGUUUCAGUGCAUAGUCAGAGCCACGAAUUCAGUGAUAAUAACAAUUCCAACCCAAUCAUUAAAGACCAGAGCAAUGGUUUAUCUUCACAUGCAUUGAUGAAUUGGAUUCAGUUAUCUGAAUCAAGAACCAUUUUGGGCAAUGGGUUUCAAGUAUAUCAACCCCAUGUGAAACUAGAAGAGCAAAAUGUGUUCAGUACAGUGGAGUCCUGCAAUUUCUUUUCAGUUGAUCAAGCUCCCACCCUGCACUGGUACUAUCCAGAGCAGUAAAAACUAGUUUAGGACUUGAAAAGGAAUAAAUUGGUAUUGAAGAAAUGGUGGAUUAGGACUUCAUUCUUGCUCUUGCAUUGCAACAGGUGGCGGGAACUGAGAAGUUUACACAAUUUGCCUCUGGUGUAAAGAUCAUAAUGUUCAGUAACCAAUCCGGAUUAAGUCGCUUUCUGUCAAGGACCAAUUUUCUAUUAAUCAAUGUUUUUAACUGUUUAUUGGUUAUAAAGAAGCUAGUACCUUACCUUAUAAGUUGCUUUUGCAUGACCACUGACUAAUAAAUAUGACUCCAUCUUGAUGUGGCCACAGAAAUGAUGUCCCACCCACUGGAGCGUUCUUGCUUUUUUCUCUUGCUUGUACUUUU